This is a non-coding RNA of Pelobates cultripes (western spadefoot toad), 448 nucleotides long. Lineage: Eukaryota; Metazoa; Chordata; Amphibia; Anura; Pelobatidae. The record is from the annotation of a GenBank genome assembly.
CUUGGCCUUGUAUAAUUUACCGGAGAGACAAUACCCUGUUCAUUUCUCACAAUUUUUAUAUAAACAUAAGUUACCUAAAAUUUCCGCAGAGCAACUGACCAAACUUAAUGAAGAUAUUACUCUAAAUGAAGUGGAUACCGCCAUAAGAAAUCUCAAAGCGAAUAAAUCACCUGGACCAGAUGGCUUUAGUAAUUUUUUUUAUUCGUCAUUAGCAAACAAUAUUAAAGGGAUCCUUACUAAGGUAUUUAAUCAGAUCAGUUUAACAGGAGAUAUACCAAGGGAAAUGUUAAAAGCCCAUACUAUUUCCAUACUUAAGCAGAAUAAGAGCCAAGAAAUGAUUGGAAAUUAUAGGCCUAUUUCCCUUCUAAAUGUAUAUUUGAAAUUGUACGCUUCUAUUUUAGCAGCUAGACUAAAUAACAUUAUUCCUUCAAUUAUCCAUAAAGACCAG